RNAcentral lists this unclassified non-coding RNA (1259 nucleotides) under uncultured fungus. Its description in RNAcentral is "sequence contains 18S rRNA gene, ITS1, 5.8S rRNA gene, ITS2, 28S rRNA gene". The stretch from base 383 to 1259 matches the Rfam family "Eukaryotic large subunit ribosomal RNA", at positions 1 to 961 of the family's 3401-position model. The record is from RNAcentral. Lineage: Eukaryota; Fungi.
GGAAGGAUCAUUAACAAAAACAUAAACUACUAACUAACUGUUAUAGAAUAUAUUUGGUUUACCAAAUAUACUCAAUAAACUUAUAAAAAUAAAACUAUAAAUAAAUCUAAGGUUGAUAAAAUCUUAAAUUUUCAACGAUGGAUGUCUUGGCUCCCAUAUCGAUGAAGAACGCAGCUAGAAUGCGAUAUGCAAUGUGAAUUGCAGAACCAUGAAUCAUUGGAUCUUUGAACGCAACUUGCACUGGUAAAACCAGUAUGCUUGUUUCAGUGUGCUCAUUCAACUUUACAAUAAAAAUGUAAGAGAUCUUUCUCUUAUUAAAUAAAUGCUCCUGUAGCAGUCACAAUCAUUUGUGAACUACAGUUCUUGUACAAUGACAAUAUUCGCACCUGAAAUCAAGCAAGAUGACCCGCUGGACUUAAGCAUAUUACUAAGCGGAGGAAAAGAAAUUAACAAAGAUUACCUUAGUAAGGGCGACUGAACCGGUAAGAGCUCAAAAUUGGAAUCGAUGAUUCAAUGAAUCUUCGAAUUGUAAUCAGGUCCGCCUAAAUACGAAAAAGCGCUAAAGUACGUCGAAACGUACGCCAGAGAGGGUGACAGCCCCGUACAGCGUUUUUUCGAGUAAGGGGGAUCCCAUAAGAGUCGGGUUGCUUGGAACUGCAGCCCUAAGUGGGAGAUAUGAAUCUUCCAAAGCUAAAUAUCGAUGGGAGACCGAUAGCGAACAAGUACUGUGAAGGAAAGAUGAAAAGGACUUUGAAAAGAGAGUGAAAAGAUCUGAAAUCGUUGAGAAGGAAGCGGUAGAAACUGAUGGUCGUUAUGACGAGUUACAUGGUGAACAGCCAUGCAAACUUGACUAAAGCGACGGGCAAAAUGAAGUUGGAACUACCAAAAAAGGCUUUGCCUGUUAGGGUAGAUCCAGCUUGAGGGACUAUUGUGAUUUUGCCAAAAUGGUUUUUACUGUCCCGUCUUGAAACACGGACCAAGGAGUCUAACCUAUAUGCGAGUGUGCGAGUGCAAAAACUCAUACGCGGAAUGAAAGUAAAAGGUGCGCAGCGCAAGCGGCAGCAUCGACCGACCUAGUACGAAAGGUUUGAGUAAGAGCAUAUCUGUUAGGACCCGAAAGAUGGUGAACUAUGCCUGAGUAGGGUGAAGUCAGGGGAAACCCUGAUGGAGGCUCGUAGCGUUGUUGACGUGCAAAUCACUCGUCAAACUUGGGUAUAGGGGCGAAAGACUAAUCGAACCAUCUAGUAGCUGGUUCCCUC